GAUCAUUACCUAGAGUUGUAGGCUUUGCCUACCAUCUCUUACCCAUGUCUUUUGAGUACCUUCGUUUCCUCGGCGGGUCCGCCCGCCGAUUGGACAAACUUAAACCCUUUGUAAUUGAAAUCAGCGUCUGAAAAAACAUAAUAGUUACAACUUUCAACAACGGAUCUCUUGGUUCUGGCAUCGAUGAAGAACGCAGCGAAAUGCGAUAAGUAGUGUGAAUUGCAGAAUUCAGUGAAUCAUCGAAUCUUUGAACGCACAUUGCGCCCCUUGGUAUUCCAUGGGGCAUGCCUGUUCGAGCGUCAUUUGUACCUUCAAGCUCUGCUUGGUGUUGGGUGUUUGUCUCGCCUUUGCGUGUAGACUCGCCUUAAAACAAUUGGCAGCCGGCGUAUUGAUUUCGGAGCGCAGUACAUCUCGCGCUUUGCACUCAUAACGACGACGUCCAAAAAGUACUUUUUACACUCUUGACCUCGGAUCAGGUAGGGAUACCCGCUGAACUUAAGCAUAUCAA
RNAcentral lists this ribosomal RNA (508 nucleotides) under Didymellaceae sp. bc_besc_102g. Its description in RNAcentral is "eukaryotic LSU rRNA". The stretch from base 149 to 302 matches the Rfam family "5.8S ribosomal RNA". Lineage: Eukaryota; Fungi; Ascomycota; Dothideomycetes; Pleosporales; Didymellaceae. The record is from RNAcentral.